UACGUAGGGGGCAAGCGUUGUCCGGAUUUAUUGGGCGUAAAGAGCGUGUAGGCGGCCAGACAGGUCCGUUGUGAAAACUCGAGGCUCAACCUCGAGACGCCGAUGGAAACCGUCUGGCUAGAGUCCGGAAGAGGAGAGUGGAAUUCCUGGUGUGGCGGUGAAAUGCGCAGAUAUCAGGAAGAACACCCGUGGCUAAGGCGGCUCUCUAGUACGGUACUGACGCUGAGACGCGAAAGCGUGGGGAGCGAACAGG
This 253-nucleotide ribosomal RNA is filed under the name uncultured bacterium. RNAcentral describes it as "partial 16S ribosomal RNA". It matches the Rfam family "Bacterial small subunit ribosomal RNA", at positions 524 to 776 of the family's 1533-position model. The record is from RNAcentral.